GCCCUUAUAGCUCAGUGGUACGAGCGCGUCACUCGUAAGUCUUGACGCAUAUAGAAGCUUUAAGCAUUGAGGUAUGACGAGGUCCGCGGUUCAAUCCCGCGUGGGGGCA
Molecule: non-coding RNA, 109 nt
Organism: Aspergillus pseudotamarii
Lineage: Eukaryota; Fungi; Ascomycota; Eurotiomycetes; Eurotiales; Aspergillaceae
Source: the annotation of a RefSeq genome assembly